Molecule: regulatory RNA element, 110 nt
Organism: Paenibacillaceae bacterium GAS479
Lineage: Bacteria; Bacillati; Bacillota; Bacilli; Caryophanales; Paenibacillaceae
Rfam family: epsC RNA
Source: Rfam
AGGUAAUGCCUCUUGCACCUUUAUCAGCAGAGGUACUCGGUCAUGCUGUGGGCCAGCGGCCUUAGACGUUAAUCGUCAGGGGCAUGAUGUGAGGUGGGGUUGGAUGCCCU